CACGUAGGGCGCAAGCGUUGUCCGGAAUUAUUGGGCGUAAAGAGCUCGUAGGCGGUCUGUUACGUCUGCUGUGAAAACCCAGGGCUUAACCCUGGGCUUGCAGUGGAUACGGGCAGACUAGAGGCAGGUAGGGGAGAAUGGAAUUCCCGGUGUAGCGGUGAAAUGCGCAGAUAUCGGGAGGAACACCGGUGGCGAAGGCGGUUCUCUGGGCCUGACCUGACGCUGAGGAGCGAAAGCGUGGGGAGCAAACAGG
This 253-nucleotide ribosomal RNA is filed under the name uncultured bacterium. RNAcentral describes it as "partial 16S ribosomal RNA". It matches the Rfam family "Bacterial small subunit ribosomal RNA", at positions 524 to 776 of the family's 1533-position model. The record is from RNAcentral.